AUGCAAGUCGAACGAGAACGGGUUAUAGCUUGCUAUAAUUGUCAGCUAAGUGGCGCACGGGUGAGUAAUGUAUAGGUAAUAUGCCUCUUACUAAGGGAUAACAAAUGGAAACGUUUGCUAAUACCUUAUACUCCUUAUUAACAGAAGUUAAUAAGGGAAAGAUUUAUUGGUAAGAGAUUAGCCUGUAUUGUAUCAGUUAGUUGGUGGGGUAAUGGCUUACCAAGACUAUGACACAUAACUGGUUUGAGAGGAUGAUCAGUCACACUGGAACUGAGACACGGUCCAGACUCCUACGGGAGGCAGCAGUGGGGAAUAUUGCACAAUGGACGAAAGUCUGAUGCAGCAACGCCGCGUGGAGGAUGACACAUUUCGGUGCGUAAACUCCUUUUAUAUGAGAAGAUAAUGACGGUAUUAUAUGAAUAAGCACCGGCUAACUCCGUGCCAGCAGCCGCGGUAAUACGGGGGGUGCAAGCGUUACUCGGAAUCACUGGGCGUAAAGAGCAUGUAGGCGGAUUAAUAAGUUUGAAGUGAAAUCCUAUAGCUUAACUAUAGAACUGCUUUGAAAACUGUUAAUCUAGAAUGUGGGAGAGGUAGAUGGAAUUUCUGGUGUAGGGGUAAAAUCCGUAGAGAUCAGAAGGAAUACCGAUUGCGAAGGCGAUCUACUGGAACAUUAUUGACGCUGAGAUGCGAAAGCGUGGGGAGCAAACAGGAUUAGAUACCCUGGUAGUCCACGCCCUAAACGAUGUACACUAGUUGUUGUGAGACUUGAUCUUGCAGUAAUGCAGUUAACACAUUAAGUGUACCGCCUGGGGAGUACGGUCGCAAGAUUAAAACUCAAAGGAAUAGACGGGGACCCGCACAAGCGGGUGGAGCAUGUGGUUUAAUUCGACGAUACACGAAGAACCUUACCUGGACUUGACAUAUAGUAAGAACUUUCUAGAGAUAGAUUUGGUGGUCUGCU
RNAcentral lists this ribosomal RNA (961 nucleotides) under uncultured bacterium. RNAcentral's name for it is "bacterial SSU rRNA". It matches the Rfam family "Bacterial small subunit ribosomal RNA", at positions 55 to 1024 of the family's 1533-position model. The record is from RNAcentral.